GUGUGUGUCUGGUCGUUCAAACACAGGGGGCGACACAAGGGAUCCCACAAACCCUAGUUCUUCCAAAAAUCCACCAAAUUGAGAGCUCAAAUUCAUUCUAAAUCAAUUCUCAAACACAAUUUCGUGAUCUCCAUUGAAAGGGGAGUCAUAAGGUAUGUGAAUUUUAUGAAGAAUCUCUAUUUGACUCCUAACGAGCUAGAUGGAAGCUUGUGGAUGAAGCGGGUCAAACGGAGCAAGUACGGAAAGAAAAGCGUGGCAUGGAUGCAAGGUAAGUGAAACUUACACCUUUUGUAGAAUAUGUGUCUACUCUAUAAGUUAUAAAUACAAUAGAGAAAGUAUUCGAAAUAAGGUUUUCGACGCAAAAUGAUACGGGUCGGAUCCAAAAACAAAUGUUAAAAACCAUAGUUAAUGGUGAAACGGGGUGGAACGGUAAGUUAGUCACGAAAGGACUAAGAUAAAAUGAGUUUUUGACGGCUACUUUACAAGUAAGCCUAAACUAAUAAAAAGGUAAAACGGGUCAAAUGGUAAUAUUGACACUAUUUGACAAUUAACGACUAAUAAGUGUAUGCCGAGUCUCAUGCUCGCAGGAUGAACGGCUCGGGAAUUAGUGAAGCUAUGAAAUAGCAAAUAAAUGAAGACAAGGUAUUAAAAUGGGUCAAUAUGUUGAUCCGAGCCAGGUACGCAUAAUUAUGUUGUGGUUAAAAGUGUUAUUUUUGGUCAAAUAAUUAGUGAGAGACUUCGUCUUAAAAUAAGAGACUAGAAUUGACCAAAAAGCCCUUGAUGGGUAAAUCGGGUAAACGACCGUUAGAGUUUGUUUAGAAACUUGUUUAUUGAUUUUGAAACCCUUAGAUACAUAUAAAAAGUAUAGGCAAAAACGUUUGCGGGUCAAAGUAGACUAAGAAGUAAAUUGUGGUUAAAUGCUUAGAUAGAUACAAAUGAAUCGGUGAAUGUGAACACCUACGUAAACUCUAGGAUGGGAGCGAAAACGUUAAGGUUUGACAAGCCCGGGAUGGGUAAAAUGAUAUGAAUUAACCAUUUUCUUUUUAGAGCAUGUAGUGAAAUAAUAAUGCCAAACGGGUCGAAUAAUCACCUAAAGGACUUAUGAGCCAACAUUGGAUAAAUCAGAUUUUUAUGCAAACCAAUGUGAUAAACGGGUCCGCAAUUUAAUUACGGACGCGUAGAUAAAAGAAUCGUGUAAAACGGACAUAUGUUAUGGCCAUUUGAAGUUUAAUUUUUGUUAAAAAAAAAACUUGAGCUGGGCAGAAAAUGCAGGUCCAGAAACGGACCUGCUGGAAAUUAGUUUCCCCCGCGCCACACGACGGGAUCCGGUAAUUGGGGCGCGACACGCGACGAUUGUCGCGACACGCGACAGAACAAGGGACUCCUCCCGCGUGUCGCGGGAGGCAUGAAUUGGAAAAAUUUAUUUUAUUUUCAUUUGUUGAUAAAGGGACUUGAUAAAACUAGUUAUCUUAGUAUCAAAACUAACAUUGGUGUUGGUUUUGAUUACAAGUAAACUUUAGUAAGCUUACGGAUGAAGAUCAAGCUCGUUGAAGGACCGAACACAAUGCAGUUACAAGCUUCCGCACAUAGUUCAGUCGUUAUUUCUAAACGGCAAAUUUUUACCAAUCAUGAUGCAACGUUAUAAAAUUUAGAAAAGUUUUAAUUAACUUGUAUUCUUAAUUGAUAUGUAAUCAUAAUUACAUGUUUAUUUUCGUAAAUUAUACUAAAACAUUAAAAUAAUAGCAAGGGUGUUACAAACUCCCCCU
RNAcentral lists this long non-coding RNA (1766 nucleotides) under Helianthus annuus (common sunflower). Its description in RNAcentral is "hypothetical non coding rna". The record is from RNAcentral. Lineage: Eukaryota; Viridiplantae; Streptophyta; Magnoliopsida; Asterales; Asteraceae.